This 776-nucleotide ribosomal RNA is filed under the name uncultured Neocallimastigales. RNAcentral describes it as "partial large subunit ribosomal RNA". It matches the Rfam family "Eukaryotic large subunit ribosomal RNA", at positions 23 to 634 of the family's 3401-position model. Lineage: Eukaryota; Fungi; Neocallimastigomycota; Neocallimastigomycetes; Neocallimastigales. The record is from RNAcentral.
AGAGAGAGACAUGCGCGCAUAUCAAUAAGCGGAGGAAAAGAAACUAACAAGGAUUCCCUUAGUAACGGCGAGUGAAGCGGGAAGAGCUCAAAUUUGAAAUCUUCAAGGUUUUACCUUGACGAAUUGUAGUUUAAAGAAGUGUUUUCUGCUGAAGUUUUGGUAAAAGUUCUUUGGAAUAGGACAUCAUAGAGGGUGAGAAUCCCGUAUUUGACCAUUAUUUUCAGCUUUGUGAUACACUUUCAAAGAGUCGGAUUGUUUGGGAAUGCAGUCCAAAAUAUGGGUGGUAAAUUUCAUCUAAAGCUAAAUAUUGGCGAGAGACCGAUAGCGAACAAGUACCGUGAGGGAAAGAUGAAAAGAACUUUGAAAAGAGAGUUAAACAGUACGUGAAAUUGUCGAAAGGGAAGCGUUUGACACCAGUGUUGUUUUCUCGAAAAUCAAUUAAAAAUGGCUCGAUUUUGUAUUGUUGAGACCUUAAAAGCUCACUGUACAUUUUUCGUGUCUUUUUUAAUGCACUUUUCGUCUAACAAGUCAACAUCAGUUUCUUUUGUUGUAAAAGGGUCAUUGGAAGGUGGCUUUCUUUUCGGAGAAAGUGUUUAUAGCCUUUGGCCUCUGCAAUCGAAGAGACUGAGGUCUGCAGCGUAGACUCUUCGGGGUUAGAUACAUUUGUGCUAAGUUAUAGCUUUUUAUAGACAACUUGCUGACUAUAAUUAGUCAUGUAGCUUACUCGCUUAUGCUAUUUUACCUACGCUUAGGAUGUUGAAGAUGUAGCACAUCAU